This 127-nucleotide small RNA is filed under the name Serratia grimesii. RNAcentral's name for it is "RtT sRNA". It matches the Rfam family "RtT RNA". Rfam says of the family: This family represents a bacterial cis-regulatory element known as RtT RNA. The exact function of RtT is unknown although it is thought that it may be involved in changing the cellular response in relation to amino acid starvation. The record is from RNAcentral. Lineage: Bacteria; Pseudomonadati; Pseudomonadota; Gammaproteobacteria; Enterobacterales; Yersiniaceae.
CAUAAAACACUGAGGGGGAGGAUGAGAAGCUUCGGCAAGGUUCGAGUCUCACAUAGUGAGACAACGUGCUUUAGCUCGGCCCGAAGGGUGAGGAACGAAGAGACGAAUAAUCCUUCCCCCACCACCA